RNAcentral lists this long non-coding RNA (550 nucleotides) under Vitis vinifera (wine grape). Its description in RNAcentral is "long non-coding RNA (VVIN_LNC002015)". Lineage: Eukaryota; Viridiplantae; Streptophyta; Magnoliopsida; Vitales; Vitaceae. The record is from RNAcentral.
GGCAUUGCCUGAGAUUGGGUUCCUCCUCUUAGUGGUGGUGGCGCUCCAACAUGUGUAGAAAUAGGGAAUGGAUACCCAUUAUUCUGUAAUAUUGCCAAGUAUGGAGCAUCAUUUGCAGGCAAAUUUGGGUAGUUAAAGCUCACAACUGGUGGCAACGAGGAAGAGUUUACAGGAGCUCCAGCAGCUGAAUUACUAGACAAUGAUGUUUUGGCACUAGAGGUGGCAGAUUUUGCAGGUCCAGAUGGAUUAGAAGUAGCUGCUACCGCUGCUUGAUGCUGGCUCAGAGGGAUUAUGAAGGCAGGGGCAUGCCACAACAUCAAACGUUGAGAAAAAUGAGCUUUCAAAACACUACCAACAGAAGUAACUCAACAAUUGAAGACAAAAAUGCAAUACAGGAGAAGACCGUACCAGCAAAUUACCAGGCUGCACAGGUUGUGGGGCUUGGUGAAUCACAAGCUGUUUUUUUUGUGCUGCAUCCAUGAAGUUCGUGGCCUCUGGGCUUUUCUCUUUUCCAGUAUGACGUGGAAAAGUACCCUGCCCUUUGCCCUGU